UGCAAGUCGAACGGAACUCUUCGGAGUUUAGUGGCGGACGGGUGAGUAACGCGUGAGAAUCUGCCUUCAGGUUGGGGACAACAGUUGGAAACGACUGCUAAUACCCAAUGUGCCGAGAGGUGAAAGCUUUAGUGCCUGAAGAUGAGCUCGCGUCUGAUUAGCUAGUUGGUGAGGUAAUGGCUUACCAAGGCGACGAUCAGUAGCUGGUCUGAGAGGAUGAUCAGCCACACUGGGACUGAGACACGGCCCAGACUCCUACGGGAGGCAGCAGUGGGGAAUUUUCCGCAAUGGGCGCAAGCCUGACGGAGCAAGACCGCGUGAGGGAGGAAGGCUCUUGGGUUGUAAACCUCUUUUAUCAGGGAAGAAGAUCUGACGGUACCUGAUGAAUCAGCAUCGGCUAAUUCCGUGCCAGCAGCCGCGGUAAUACGGAGGAUGCAAGCGUUAUCCGGAUUUAUUGGGCGUAAAGCGUCCGCAGGUGGUUUUUCAAGUCUGCUGUUAAAGCGCAGAGCUUAACUCUGUAACGGCGGUGGAAACUGAGAGACUAGAGUAUGGUAGGGGUUGCGGGAAUUCCCAGUGUAGCGGUGAAAUGCGUAGAUAUUGGGAAGAACACCAGCGGCGAAAGCGCGCAACUGGGCCAUUACUGACACUCAUGGACGAAAGCUAGGGGAGCGAAAGGGAUUAGAUACCCCUGUAGUCCUAGCUGUAAACGAUGGGUACUAGGUGUUGACCGUAUCGACCCGGUCAGUGCCGUAGCUAACGCGUUAAGUACCCCGCCUGGGGAGUAUGCACGCAAGUGUGAAACUCAAAGGAAUUGACGGGGGCCCGCACAAGCGGUGGAGUAUGUGGUUUAAUUCGAUGCAACGCGAAGAACCUUACCAGGGCUUGACAUGUCCCGAAUCUCGGUGAAAGUCGAGAGUGCCUUCGGGAGCGCGAACACAGGUGGUGC
This 946-nucleotide ribosomal RNA is filed under the name uncultured cyanobacterium. RNAcentral's name for it is "bacterial SSU rRNA". It matches the Rfam family "Bacterial small subunit ribosomal RNA", at positions 56 to 1044 of the family's 1533-position model. The record is from RNAcentral. Lineage: Bacteria; Bacillati; Cyanobacteriota.